This 481-nucleotide long non-coding RNA is filed under the name Gossypium barbadense (sea-island cotton). RNAcentral's name for it is "long non-coding RNA (GBAR_LNC002435)". The record is from RNAcentral. Lineage: Eukaryota; Viridiplantae; Streptophyta; Magnoliopsida; Malvales; Malvaceae.
CCGAAUUAGAUUAACACAAACCGUAACUUGUCACACAUCCCACACGUCUUUAGUUCUUGUGGCUUGAUCGAAAUCUAGCUUUAACCAAGCUCAUCUUCUCUAGGAUUUUCUCUUUCAACAUAUAAUUUCCAACCCUUAAAACUAUGGUUUGACUUUACUAAAACUCUCCUCCUUGGGUAAGAAAUAUUAUAGAUUUAAAUGGAAAGAAUUUCACUUGAAGCAAGCAAAAACUUCCAAGUUUGAAUUUGAAGAACUGACGGUGGUAAGGAAAAUUUUCAAGAAAUCAUAGUUGGUACUCACGGUUUAUGGCAAAAAUCAUCUUUUUACCCAGCUGGCAAAAUGCACUAAUGGAAGAACUCAAUUUCGGUUUUCCUACACUGUUCUCCUAUCCCUUUUUCUUCAGCCAUGUGAAAGCAAAACGAAAGCUCCAUUGAAUUCUCUCCUACCCCCUACACUCCCCUAGAGAGUGGUUUCAUGCAAC